CGCGUCCGUCUAGAGAACAACAAUUUUCCCAACUGAUUAUUGGCCUGUCUGAAAAGUCCCUGAAGAUUUUCAAUGGACGACAUUGGAAGUUUCGUGCGGAUACGAAAGUCAUCGAGGACAAGCGUACACUUGUGGAUCGUUUGAGGCUGUGGACGUCUGUUUCGCGAGGAGUGCUAGCACUGUUGGGAAUCAUUCUCGCUUUCCUUCGUAACGCGUAUGUCUAAUUGCGACCUAGAAGCGAGUUCCGAUGGCAAGGUGUAAGUGAGCCUGUUUCUACUAGCAAACUAAAAUGUUUAUAUCUCAGAAAUGGUUGACCUUUUGACCUAUGUUUAUUACAGCUUUUUUACUCAGUACCGUGUGUCCUAUAUACCAUAUAAAUAUUGAAUUGUUUUUUCUUAACACCCUAUAUAUCAUGUAUGUAGCACUACACAUCACCUUUCUGUUCCCGUGAUUAACUCUAACAAUUGUAAUUUCUCUAUCAAACUAAUAAUGUGUUUUAUAUUUGUAGCAAUUCUGUUCUCAUGAUCUAACUCUUGCUAUUACUUUAACAAUUGCUAUUUCUCCAUCAAACUAUUAUAAUGCGUUUUAUAUUUGUAGCACUAUACAAUACGUUUAUUAUGUAUUGUUUCAUAACUGGUAAACAUGAAAAAUUGUAUCAUGUUUCAUGUUUAAUAUAAUUAUAAUUAUAUACCGUUUCAUGUUUGACACAAAUAAAAAGAUACAAUGUUGCAAAA
This is a long non-coding RNA of Hylaeus volcanicus, 734 nucleotides long. RefSeq lists it as uncharacterized. The record is from RefSeq and is a predicted model, not a curated record. The transcript has 2 exons. Lineage: Eukaryota; Metazoa; Arthropoda; Insecta; Hymenoptera; Colletidae.